GAUGAAGAACGUAGUGAAAUGCGAUACGUAAUGUGAAUUGCAAAUUCAGUGAAUCAUCGAGUCUUUGAACGCACAUUGCGCCCCCUGGUAUUCCGGGGGGCAUGCCUGUCCGAGCGUCAUUGCUGCCCUCAAGCACGGCUUGUGUGUUGGGCCCCGUCCUCCGAUCCCGGGGGACGGGCCCGAAAGGCAGCGGCGGCACCGCGUCCGGUCCUCGAGCGUAUGGGGCUUUGUCACCCGCUCUGUAGGCCCGGCCGGCGCUUGCCGAUCAACCCAAAUUUUUAUCCAGGUUGACCUCGGACCAGGUAGGGAUACCCGCUGAACUUAAGCAUAUCAAUAAGCGGAGGA
RNAcentral lists this unclassified non-coding RNA (345 nucleotides) under soil metagenome. Its description in RNAcentral is "partial contains 5.8S ribosomal RNA, internal transcribed spacer 2, and large subunit ribosomal RNA". The stretch from base 1 to 119 matches the Rfam family "5.8S ribosomal RNA", at positions 35 to 154 of the family's 154-position model. The record is from RNAcentral.